UACAGAGGUCUCGAGCGUUAGGCGGAAUCACUGGGCUUAAAGCGUGUGUAGGCGGAUCGUUAAGUACCUUGUGAAAUCCCACGGCUUAACCGUGGAACUGCUUGGUAUACUGGCGGUCUUGAGCCAGCUAGGGGCUACCGGAACAAAUGGUGGAGCGGUGAAAUGCGUAGAGAUCGGGAAGAAGGCCGGUGGCGAAGGCGGCUCUCUGGAACGUUCCUGACACUGAGGCACGAAAGCGUGGGGAGCAAACAGG
This 253-nucleotide ribosomal RNA is filed under the name uncultured bacterium. Its description in RNAcentral is "partial 16S ribosomal RNA". It matches the Rfam family "Bacterial small subunit ribosomal RNA", at positions 524 to 776 of the family's 1533-position model. The record is from RNAcentral.